Molecule: long non-coding RNA, 2783 nt
Filed under: Amborella trichopoda
Lineage: Eukaryota; Viridiplantae; Streptophyta; Magnoliopsida; Amborellales; Amborellaceae
Description: long non-coding RNA (ATRI_LNC003577)
Source: RNAcentral
UGGAAGAAAUUUUAAGUAGUGUCUUUUUAUUGAUGUAUGGAUCCUCCAAAUAGUAAAUAAUCCUCUAUACUUAGAAUUAUUGAUUGAGUUAUUUUUCAUGAUUUGCUUUGAUUACCUAGAUAAAGGCCUUGAGUCCACUCCGACCAGAGUGACAUAUGCCACAUUGGGAUCACAAACCCGCACUCGGUCACCCUCCGUCGCAUACGACAAAGGGAUCGGGGGCGGGGCCGUGACAGUAGACCAUACUAAGAAAAUUCCUUUUGCUGAUACCGGACUGAGCUUGACGAGCUAGACCAAUAGUGUUUACGACGCAAAUCAGAACGAUCUUCAGAUAAAGACCCCUCAGAUCUGAAAACUACAAACUAAUUUUUUUAACAAAAGUGAUAGAGAAUGUGGGAAAAAUCGAAUUCUGAUCUGAUGUUAGAUCCGCCCAUAAACAAGUGGAUCUGUUCUCAAAUCAAUGGCAGCACCAGUAUUGAUCUGAAUAAGAAACACGAAAUAAAAGCAAAUAAAAUUAAUCUAAUCUAAUUAAAAUGAAAUAGAAGCCGAAAAAGAAGUAAUGAAGAGUAAAGAAGUAUACCAAAUAGGGCCAGAUGGCUUGGGACUCCCGAGCCUUCCAGAGCUCGCCCGUAUCAGAAUCGAUGUCCUCUUGUUUUUCUCUCUUCAAGUUUUGAUCAAGCCUUGGCCUGGUUGAAUGGGUUUUAUUGAUCUAAGGAUGGCUAAAACUAAGGUUUUCAGGUCUUACGAUCUUAUGUUCUCUGGGCUCACUCUCUCUCUCUCUCUCUUCUUUCUCUCUCUCUAGAUUUCCUAUGCUCUCACGUCCCACCUUUCUUUCUUAUCUAACCUACUCGCCCUACCCCAAAGAUUUUCUCUCCCUCAAGUGGUACAAUAGUUUAUUUUUCUUAUAGGCCUAAUGGGGAUAUAGAAUGAAAAUUAUGGGAUUUGCUAAGUGUAGACUAGAUAAUUACUAGCAGUUGGGGAUAUGUUAGGUGUAGAAUAGAUAACUACUAAAAGCUGAGGAUUUGCUAGGCGUAGAAUUGAUACUUACUAAAACUAUGAGAUUUGCUAAGUGUGGAUCAUAGGAUGAGACCAUGGACUAAACAGUUUUAAAAAAUAGGGUGUCUACAGUUGCCCGUCGUUGUCACUCCUUGUCCUUUGAGGGACAGGUGAGUGGUAAAGAAGUAGACACUUUUUAAAAAAUAGGAGUCUACAGUUACCCCUCUUUGUCACUCCAUGUCCUUCGAGGGGCAGGUGGACGACAAAGAUAAUACACCAACUAUCCCUUCAAGACAUUGUGCUCCCCACUCACCCACCUAGGACAUUUUUCUCCUAGAGUUUUCGAGGUGAGAUGUCUUUAAGUUACACAAGAUUGAAACUCGAGUUGGAUUUUCUGGCCAUGCCACUUAACUUAAGAGUUUCCACAAUUUCAAAUUGAUUUCCUUAAGGUUUCCUAAGGUCUUCUAUAGGUUUCACCUGUUUAGGAAAAGGUUAGGUCAAGAGAUGAGGCCGCAACACGAUGAUAAUCAUAUACGGGUGUCCAAGCUCAUUCAUUUUAAAAGACAUUUUAGAAAUUUUGAAAAUAGGGAGAGAUUUGAAAUAUAACCCAAAACUUGGAUAGGUCACAGUUUUAACAAAAGAAUUAAAGUUUUUGAAAACACAAGACAUAUAAUGAAAAUUUUGAAAAGUGAAAGAUAUUUUGAAAACAAAUUUUUAUUUAGCAGUUUUAGCUCCUGCAACCAUUUACACCUUUAAGCAGUUUAACGUCAUGCAGUGAUGGACAACACACCCAAUCUUUUACAUCAUACGGGGCUAGACAAAUACACCCAACUUUUUAUGUCAUACGGGGCUUGACAAAUACACCCGACCUUGUACGUCAUAUAGGGCUAGAUGUUUUCUGAAUACACCCAACCUUUAACGUCAUACGGGGCUAGACAUUUCUGAAUACACCCGACCUUUUAGGUCAUACGAGGCUAAACGUUUUCUUAAUACAUCCAACCUUGAUGUCAUACGGGGCUAGACAUUUUCUGAAUACACCCGACCUUUUACAUCAUACGGGGCUGGACAUUUUAUAAAUACAUCUGACCUUUUACGUCAUACGGGGCUAGAUGUUUUCUUGUCUCGAUUCUUUUACGUUGUACGAGUUUGACGUUUUUCCUGUCUCGACUCUUAUACGUCGCACGAGUUUGACAUUUUCAUGUCUCGGCUCUUUUACGUCGCACGAGUUUGACGUUUUUUCUGAACUGGAUUUUGGUUGGCAGUUUAGGCUCAUACCACCAAUGAGCAUUUUCUUUUUGAUUUUUUUUUUAUGAAAGAAAAAUACAUUACAAAACAAAACUUGCCCCCUGAAGGGUUCCAAAGUUGGAGCAGGGGCAUUUUUGGCCAAAAACUAUUGGGUGACACUAGUGGUGUUGCCUAGGCAACGCUCUCAACGUUAUCCAAACAAUGCAGGGAUUUGGGUGACAUGGGUGGUGUCGCCCUAGGAAUUUUUUUACUAUUAUUAUUUAUUUUUUGGGUGGGCGACACUAGUGGUGUCGCCCUGGAAAAAAAGGAACUUUUUUUUUUAUAUAUAUACUUUUUAGGUGGGCGACACUUGUGGUGUCGCUCGGGAAAAACAAAUUUUUUUUUUUUUUUUUGGUGUUGGUCGACCCACCUGUGUACCCUGGAGAAAAAAUCAAUUUUUUUUUGGGUGGGUGACACCACCUAUGUCUCCCAAGGAAAAAUACUUGUUGCUUUUUUUGUGUGUGGUAGGCGACACCACACAGUGUCGCCCAACUAAAAAAGAU